This 257-nucleotide ribosomal RNA is filed under the name uncultured bacterium. RNAcentral describes it as "partial 16S ribosomal RNA". It matches the Rfam family "Bacterial small subunit ribosomal RNA", at positions 524 to 776 of the family's 1533-position model. The record is from RNAcentral.
GACGUAGGGCGCGAGCGUUGUCCGGAUUUAUUGGGCGUAAAGAGCUCGUAGGCGGCUCGUUGCGUCGGCUGUGAAAACCCGCAGCUCAACUGUGGGCUUGCAGCCGAUACGGGCGGGCUGGGAUUCGGUAGGGGAGACUGGAAUUCCUGGUGUAGCGGUGAAAUGCGCAGAUAUCAGGAGGAACACCGGAGUGGCGAAGGCAGGGUCUCUGGGCCAUUAACUGACGCUGAGGAGCGAAAGCAUGGGGAGCGAACAGG